UCCCUUCUUCUUCCCCCUCUCCCUCACUUUUCCUCUUCUUUUUUUUUAUCAAUUCUUUAUUCUUUUUUUUUUGUUUGUUUGUUUUGAUGACCAAUUGGAUGUUAAACAGCACCAGGCUUUCUUUCUUUCUUUUUUUUUUUAUUAACUUGAGUAUUUCUUAUUUACAUUUCGAAUGUUAUUCCCUUUCCCGGUUUCCGGGCAAACAUCCCCCUAAUCCCUCCCCCUCCCCUUCUUUAUGGGUGUUCCCCUCCCCAUCCUCCCCCCUUGCUGCCCUCCCCCCAACAAUCACGUUCACUGGGGGUUCAGUCUUAGCAGGACCAAGAGCUUCCCCUUCCACUGGUGCUCCUACUAGGCUAUUCAUUGUUACCUAUGAGGUCAGAGUCCAGGGUCAGUCCAUGUAUAGUCUUUGGAUAGUGGCUUAGUCCCUGGAAGCUCUAGUUGCUUGGCAUUGUUGUUCAUAAAGGGU
This 466-nucleotide long non-coding RNA is filed under the name Rattus norvegicus (Norway rat). RNAcentral describes it as "long non-coding RNA NONRATT003796". Lineage: Eukaryota; Metazoa; Chordata; Mammalia; Rodentia; Muridae. The record is from RNAcentral.